This is a long non-coding RNA of Nothoprocta perdicaria, 466 nucleotides long. RefSeq lists it as uncharacterized. NCBI's taxonomy places the organism in Eukaryota, Metazoa, Chordata, Aves, Tinamiformes, Tinamidae. The transcript has 4 exons. The record is from RefSeq and is a predicted model, not a curated record.
UUCAGUUUUCCUGAAGGAAGUGAAGAUGUGAAGACCCUCAGCUCUGGAAGAUGCCAACCUUGAAGAAAAGCAAGCUGUUGGAUGGCAGAAUGGUUUAAUAUUGCUUGUGCUUCACRAUGCAACCCGACUGAAAAGGUUUCUGACAAAUGAAGGCAAUAAAAUUGUCUUCUGUGCUGGAUGAAGAAUAGAAACCACCAACUCCGUUUUAUCCAGUAAACAAGGUGUCUGGAAAAAAAACUCACUGAAAGGCACAGGAAGGUGGUUGCACGGACCUAGGGAUCUGGAGACAUUAAUAAAGCUUAUGGAUUCUGUCAGCUGCAGCACCAGUAACUGAGCGUUAGCAGGAGAGCCUCCUGUGUCCUUUCCUCAUCCCUUCUGGAGCUCUGUUCUCAACUCAGCUGCAUCUGAUUUUGCAACCAGGAAAAGCUGCUGCAUGAGCCAUACUUAUGUCUAAAAUUCAUUCGGA